GGGGAUAACACUUGGAAACAGGUGCUAAUACCGUAUAACACUAUUUUCCGCAUGGAAGAAAGUUGAAAGGCGCUUUUGCGUCACUGAUGGAUGGACCCGCGGUGCAUUAGCUAGUUGGUGAGGUAACGGCUCACCAAGGCCACGAUGCAUAGCCGACCUGAGAGGGUGAUCGGCCACACUGGGACUGAGACACGGCCCAGACUCCUACGGGAGGCAGCAGUAGGGAAUCUUCGGCAAUGGACGAAAGUCUGACCGAGCAACGCCGCGUGAGUGAAGAAGGUUUUCGGAUCGUAAAACUCUGUUGUUAGAGAAGAACAAGGAUGAGAGUAGAACGUUCAUCCCUUGACGGUAUCUAACCAAAAAGCCACGGCUAACUACGUGCCAGCAGCCGCGGUAAUACGUAGGUGGCAAGCGUUGUCCGGAUUUAUUGGGCGUAAAGCGAGCGCAGGCGGUUUCUUAAGUCUGAUGUGAAAGCCCCCGGCUCAACCGGGGAGGGUCAUUGGAAACUGGGAGACUUGAGUGCAGAAGAGGAGAGUGGAAUUCCAUGUGUAGCGGUGAAAUGCGUAGAUAUAUGGAGGAACACCAGUGGCGAAGGCGGCUCUCUGGUCUGUAACUGACGCUGAGGCUCGAAAGCGUGGGGAGCGAACAGGAUUAGAUACCCU
RNAcentral lists this ribosomal RNA (662 nucleotides) under uncultured bacterium. Its description in RNAcentral is "bacterial SSU rRNA". It matches the Rfam family "Bacterial small subunit ribosomal RNA", at positions 139 to 788 of the family's 1533-position model. The record is from RNAcentral.